CAGCCGCCGCGGGAAUACAGAGGGUGCGAGCGUUAAUCGGAUUUACUGGGCGUAAAGCGUGCGUAGGCGGCUUUUUAAGUCGGAUGUGAAAUCCCUGAGCUUAACUUAGGAAUUGCAUUCGAUACUGGGAAGCUAGAGUAUGGGAGAGGAUGGUAGAAUUCCAGGUGUAGCGGUGAAAUGCGUAGAGAUCUGGAGGAAUACCGAUGGCGAAGGCAGCCAUCUGGCCUAAUACUGACGCUGAGGUACGAAAGCAUGGGGAGCAAACAGGAUUAGAUACCCCGUAGUCCCUGUCUCUUAUACU
Molecule: ribosomal RNA, 301 nt
Filed under: uncultured bacterium
Lineage: Bacteria
Description: partial 16S ribosomal RNA
Rfam family: Bacterial small subunit ribosomal RNA
Source: RNAcentral